GGAUGUGAGGGCGAUCUGGCUGUGACAUCUGUCACCCCAUUGAUCGCCAGGGUUGAUUUGGCUGAUCUGGCUGGCUAGGCAGGUGUCCCCUUCCUCCCUCACCGCUCCAUGUGCGUCCCUCCCGAAGCUGCGCGCUCGGUCGAAGAGGACGGCCUUCCCCGAAUAGAGAUGGACCGGUCUUCAGUCGAGGGUAUACGAGUAGCUGCGCUCCCCUGCUAGAACCUCCAAACAAGCUCUCAAGAGGAAACAGCCAUUCUAUACUCUUUUGCAUCUGGCUUUUAUCAAGUGUGCAAAGUGCUUACAAAUUUGUCCUCAUCAACCUUGUACAUCACUGU
RNAcentral lists this small nuclear RNA (335 nucleotides) under Sorex araneus (European shrew). RNAcentral's name for it is "7SK RNA (ENSSARG00000015791.1)". It matches the Rfam family "7SK RNA". From Rfam's summary of the family: 7SK was discovered as an abundant small nuclear RNA in the mid-70s but a possible function has only recently been suggested. Two independent studies have found that 7SK RNA binds the CDK9/cyclin T complex (known as elongation factor P-TEFb). P-TEFb activates transcription by phosphorylating the C-terminal domain of RNA polymerase II. The record is from RNAcentral. Lineage: Eukaryota; Metazoa; Chordata; Mammalia; Eulipotyphla; Soricidae.